GUGAACGCUGGCGGUAGGCCUAACACCUGCAAGUCGAACGGCAGCACAGUAAGAGCUUGCUCUUACGGGUGGCGAGUGGCGGACGGGUGAGGAAUACAUCGGAAUCUACUUUUUCGUGGGGGAUAACGUAGGGAAACUUACGCUAAUACCGCAUACGACCUACGGGUGAAAGCAGGGGAUCUUCGGACCUUGCGCGAUUGCAUGAGCCGAUGUCGGAUUAGCUAGUUGGCGGGGUAAAGGCCCACCAAGGCGACGAUCCGUAGCUGGUCUGAGAGGAUGAUCAGCCACACUGGAACUGAGACACGGUCCAGACUCCUACGGGAGGCAGCAGUGGGGAAUAUUGGACAAUGGGCGCAAGCCUGAUCCAGCCAUACCGCGUGGGUGAAGAAGGCCUUCGGGUUGUAAAGCCCUUUUGUUGGGAAAGAAAAGCAGCAGGAUAAUACCCCGCUGUUCUGACGGUACCCAAAGAAUAAGCACCGGCUAACUUCGUG
This 491-nucleotide ribosomal RNA is filed under the name uncultured bacterium. Its description in RNAcentral is "partial 16S ribosomal RNA". It matches the Rfam family "Bacterial small subunit ribosomal RNA", at positions 29 to 507 of the family's 1533-position model. The record is from RNAcentral.